AAGUGAAACGGCGGCCUUGAGACGGCCACCGUCGUCCGGGAGCGGCGUUCCGGACCUGAAGAUGCAAGCCAAAG
RNAcentral lists this non-coding RNA (74 nucleotides) under Treponema sp. The record is from RNAcentral. Lineage: Bacteria; Pseudomonadati; Spirochaetota; Spirochaetia; Treponematales; Treponemataceae.